RNAcentral lists this transfer RNA (79 nucleotides) under Streptococcus equi subsp. zooepidemicus MGCS10565. RNAcentral's name for it is "tRNA-Met". It matches the Rfam family "tRNA". Rfam says of the family: Transfer RNA (tRNA) molecules are approximately 80 nucleotides in length. Their secondary structure includes four short double-helical elements and three loops (D, anti-codon, and T loops). The record is from RNAcentral. Lineage: Bacteria; Bacillati; Bacillota; Bacilli; Lactobacillales; Streptococcaceae.
UCGCGGGAUGGAGCAGUUAGGUAGCUCGUCGGGCUCAUAACCCGAAGGUCGUAGGUUCAAAUCCUGCUCCCGCAAUUAU